AUUGAACGCUGGCGGCAGGCCUAACACAUGCAAGUCGAACGGUAACAGGAAGCAGCUUGCUGCUUUGCUGACGAGUGGCGGACGGGUGAGUAAUGUCUGGGAAACUGCCCGAUGGAGGGGGAUAACUACUGGAAACGGUAGCUAAUACCGCAUAACGUCGCAAGACCAAAGAGGGGGACCUUAGGGCCUCUUGCCAUCGGGUGUGCCCAGAUGGGAUUAGCUAGUAGGUGGGGUAACGGCUCACCUAGGCGACGAUCCCUAGCUGGUCUGAGAGGAUGACCAGCCACACUGGAACUGAGACACGGUCCAGACUCCUACGGGAGGCAGCAGUGGGGAAUAUUGCACAAUGGGCGCAAGCCUGAUGCAGCCAUGCCGCGUGUAUGAAGAAGGCCUUCGGGUUGUAAAGUACUUUCAGCGGGGAGGAAGGGAGUAAAGUUAAUACCUUUGCUCAUUGACGUUACCCGCAGAAGAAGCACCGGCUAACUCCGUG
Molecule: ribosomal RNA, 490 nt
Filed under: uncultured bacterium
Lineage: Bacteria
Description: partial 16S ribosomal RNA
Rfam family: Bacterial small subunit ribosomal RNA
Source: RNAcentral